GCGGUAGCAGUGGCAACGGCAGCAAGAGGACCGGCCGCCCCAUAGACCCCCCCGCGCACCACCCCCGCCGCUUCCUCUGCUUGGGUGCCCCCCCGGUCUGACUUCCCUUUUCUCCCACCUUUCCCGGCACCGCGGGAAAAGCAGCGCAGGGCAGAGCAGGCAGGGAGGGCGGCCGGAGCCCGGACACGGGAGCCUCCCAGUCAGUUCAAGACCCGACAUGAGGGAAAAGGGACGUAGGAAGAAGGGCAGGACCUGGGCGGAGGCCGCCAAGACGGUCUUAGAAAAAUACCCCAAUACACCCAUGAGUCAUAAAGAAAUUCUUCAAGUUAUCCAGAGAGAAGGACUAAAAGAAAUCAGAAGGUAAGAAGUAUUACUUUAUUCUAAAGAAGUAUUAUGCAAUUAUAAAGCACACUUUUAUAAAUUUAAUUGAACUUACCUUUGGAUGCAUGAGUUUUACUUUAUAAAACUAAAUAAUUAGUCCAGAAACUAAGUAAUAUCGAUAUUAUUAUGUUAGUGUUUAUUCGUUAAGUGUGCUUUGUUUGGUUCUUGCAGUUUGUAAUUAUUGUUUGAUCAUAAGUUUAGAAAUCCGAUCUACAUUAAGGUUUAUUAAAAUCAACAUUUGACUUAUAAAAGCGUUGGGAUGCCAAGUAUUCUGCAGAGUAAUAAUGAAAGUAUUUAGUAGACUGGAAACAUGUAUAUUAACAUUUGCUUUAUGGCUGUAAGAUUGAAAAUGUAUGUUUGUGCUCUUAAUUUAGAUAAAAUAUUGGUAAAUCGGCUGGGCAUGGUGGCUCACACCUGGUAAUCCCAGCACUUUGAGAGGCCGAGGUGGGUGGAUCACUUGAGGUCAGGAGUUCGAGACUAGCCUGACCAAUAUGGUGAAACUGCAU
This 887-nucleotide long non-coding RNA is filed under the name Homo sapiens (human). Its description in RNAcentral is "HSALNT0028989". Lineage: Eukaryota; Metazoa; Chordata; Mammalia; Primates; Hominidae. The record is from RNAcentral.